Molecule: long non-coding RNA, 6025 nt
Organism: Gasterosteus aculeatus aculeatus (three-spined stickleback)
Lineage: Eukaryota; Metazoa; Chordata; Actinopteri; Perciformes; Gasterosteidae
Source: Ensembl
GUCUGGACUGUAUGGGGACCCUGAGCGCACCUCCCUGACGUUGACAAAGCGCUAUGGGUGUAUUUGGCAACUGUCCUCCCCCCACCUCCCCUCGCAGCUACCUGCUCAACACUUCAUCAAAACCACAGGCACCAAAAUGGCGAGGGAUCCAUCAACUCCCCACGCUGAAAGAUGAUGUCAUCAACGAGGAUCGUCUCCCGGGGACUGUUGCUGAUGGCCGACAUGGAUCAGAACCUCAGAGAGUGUGUAGCCGACAGCACUGCAGUGGGAAACAAGAAUGACACUGCAUCCACUACGCCAGGGGUCCCAAACUCAAAUCAGAUGGAGUGAUGUCCUGACCAGCCCUCGACCCCCCCUCCCCUUAGCUGCUCCAGCUUGUUUCAGAGGCCAAGACCGAGGGAAUCCUGGAAUCAGGAGGCAGGCAAGCGAGACUUGGUCCAGGUAAAAAAUAAGUUUUCUUUAUUUGUAAAAAAAAAAGGAAGGUUUCUGAUACACGUCUCAUUAAACAGAUAAACAACCAAACAAACCUAAUUCAUUGACUGAAUCAACUCCACAUAACCUCAUCUAAUACGUGCCCUCAGCUACAUGGAGGUUCCACCAUUUCCCCUCAACAGAGGAGUCAACAGCCAGCGGCUUGGAGUCAGCAUACAGAGAGCUCCAGCCCAGCCAGCCGCUGAGAGCUGCCAUCCGCAGGAACAGAGACCUUGGCAUGGGACAGUGUUGAAGCUCACUUGGUCCCCUCCUCCAGCCUGGAGCCCUGUGAGUUCUGCUCAGUGGAGGAGAGAAGAGAGUCCAGCCGAACAGGAAGCUUUGCUUGUCGGGCCCUGAGCGUGCGAAGUGUGUACUUGUCGGCGUGCAUACAUUGUUGUGUCACUUUGUCUGCACCAAUGCACGUAAUGUCUUGUGUCUGAGCACAGCACCAACUCCAGCAAGAUGUAUAAUGUUGCACGCAAUGCGAAUGGGGAUUCUGUCGCUGACUGGGCCUCACACACAUUUAAAAUAAACGGCUCCCACCGAGGAUUACUAUUGAUUCGUGUGGGGCUCUCAAAGAGAAAGAGAGACAGAGUACUCAACUUCCUCUCUCUUCUAGUCUUCUGAGGAAUGCUAUAUGUCUGCCUGUCUGCAGAAAAAGUGUUUGGGGUGAUUUGAAAAAACACUCCACUAAACUGUUAUAUUGACAAAUCACUACAAGGUGUCUUUCAGAAGUAUGAGACAAAGUGUGUGUUUGUUUGCGGUGUGGUAAGAGGAAGAGGGGGGAUUGAAGAAGGAAAGAUCAUGACACCCCCUUUUACAUUUCCCUCUCUGAACUAAGUCAAAACUGUUGCUUGUCAGAGUUUUUUUAGACAAAAGGGACUAAAAACUGAAAAAAACACAAGGGGAGACAGGACAGAGAGAGAAAAUAAAGAGGAUGUUUGAUUGACAGCCAAUAGGCCUGCUUGUCUCCUGUCACACACAUGAUUGCUGACCGACCCCUCUGCCCGGCUGAGGCCUCUGGGUAGACAGGCCAGAAUUACAGCCCCAUUUAGAGAAUGAAGGAUCAUGAAUGCCUGGUAGCCUCCCAGGCCGCUCAUUGUCUCUGGGAUGUGUUGCGGCAACCCGGGGGACGUAGAGGCGACAUUUAAGAAUAAAAUAAGAGACUCAGACACUAAUUAAAAAGUGUUGGUAACACAUUCUGUGUGGACAAAACAGUGGAGAGUGGAGGUGAGUUGGUUAGGUUACCUCCUGUUCAAGGUUGCUUCUCUUGAGUCGCUGCUCCGAAUCUCUGGCCAACUCACACUCCAUCUUCCCAUCGCUUGCCAAUAGGACCCUCAGAUACUUGAGCUCCUUCACUUGGGGUAAGGCCAUAUUCCAUACCCGGAGUAGGCAAUCCAUCGGUUUUCUGUUGAGAACCAUGGCCAUUUAGAGGCGCGAACCUCUCCAGUGGGAGUUGGAGAUCACAGGCCGAAGAUGCCUUCAGGACCACAUCAUCUGCAAAAAGCAGCAAUGGAGCGACCCUCCCCCCGACUACACCACAAUAUCCUGUUCAUGAAAAUCACAAACAGGACUGGUGACAAGGUACAGCCCUGGCGAAGGCCAGGCCCAAUCGGAAACGCCUCCGACUCAUUGCCAAACACCUGAACACAGCUCACCCUUUGGGCGUAUAGGGAUUGGAUGGCCCCAGGUAGGAACCCCCUCACCUCGUACUCCCGCAGCACCUCCCACAUUAUCUCUCGGGAAACCCAGUCAUACGCCUUCUCCAAGUCCACAAAACAUAUGUAGACUGGAUGAGCAUACUCCCAGGCCCCCUCCAUGAUCCUUGAAAGAGCAAAGACACCACCCCGGUCUGCCAAUCCUUAGGCACUGUUCCAGACUUCCGUGCAAUGUUGAACAGGCAUGACAUCCAAGACAGCCCAUUUCUUUUUGCAUUUCUGGAUGAAUCUCAUCAAUCCCUGGGGCUAUGCCACUGCAGAGUUGUUUCUCAGUGACUUUCACCAGGCAAAUUGACGUUGAACCUUCUUCCGCUUCCAGCUCCGCCUCUACCAAAAAGUGCGUAGUAGUUUAUUCAGGAAUCUCUCAAAGUGUUCCUUUACCGCCCGAUUACCUUCGCAGCUCCGGUCAACAGGGUCCUAUCCUUACAGUACACAGCUUGGAUGAUUCCGCGUUCCGCACUCUGGUUCAAUACCCCUCCUACCUACACAGGAAUGCAAGAGUAGCUCAGCCGGAGGUAUGGAUUGAAAAUCUUUUGGACCGGGGCCUUUUCCAGAAGUUCCCCCGCACUGUGCUUGGGUUUACCAGAUCUAUCCUGAGUCCAUCCUCUAACCCAGAUCACCACCAGAUGAUGGUCAGUUGACAACUCUGCCUCUCUUUACCUGAAACAGUCCUGUCCAAAACAUGAGGCCUCAGAUCAAACAAUACUAUUACUCUAUUGUAUCGAUUGCUCUGGUAACACGUACACUAAUGAUUAUUGUUAUGCUAAACAUGGUGUUUGUUUUGGCCAAUCUGUGACAGAGGUCCAAUAACAAACGACCACUUGGGUUCAAAUCAGGGAGGCCGUUCCUCCAAAUCACUCCUCUCCAGUCAUCUCCAUUGUCGCCCACAUGUGCAUCGAAGUCUCCCAGUAGGACUAUGGAGUCCCCUACUGGGGCCCCUAAGCAGGACUCCACUCAGGGUGUCCAAACAGGCCAAAUACUGGGGGUUGCGGUUUGUUGCACGGAAAACAGAGUUUCCCCCCCCACAACCCGAAAGUGUAGGGAGGCGACCCUUUUGUCCACUGGGGUAAACUCCAAUUUAGCAAUAUUGGACCCACACCAUAACACGACACAGUAGCUAAGCUUUGGGUUACAAUACUGCUUCAGGACAUCAACCCGCGCAAGGAAAUCGUCUUCACACCUAGGUGUGAAUUGUCUUUCUUGGUUAAACUGAGAUCUGAUUAUUCAAGCCUCAGACAACCCAGGGGUCCCUCUGCUGGUGAGUGCAAGGUUAAAGACAGUCUCUUCAAAUCAAUCUUAUCCAAAUUGGCUUGCGUCGAUGGAAGGAUAAAAGGACCGAGCCAAAAUGUUUCGAAUCGACUGGUGUCGAUGACAGGAUUUAGGGUCUCCACCUUUCAGCGGUUUGGCCUCGAUCAGACCUCGUCGGUGGGUUCCUUUUACUAGCUGCUUCCAGCCCAAGCAGCUCAACAACGAGGAAAACUUCCUCUACCAAACUAGCAUCAACUGACUCCACCCUAAAAUAUUUUUUCGGUAGUUAAGAAACAAAAUCCGCAUCCUGUUUGUUGAUACGUCCCGCAGCACCCUGACUAAUGUGCAUAUUAGGUAGUCACAGUUCUGGCACAAUUGGAAUGACAAUAUGUAAAUACAAUGGCCCGCAAUCACAUGCCAUCAUUUAAAUACCUUAUACAGACUGCACGUCUAAAUGGUACAAUGCUCAUUCAGCUGAAUUUGACCCAACUCUUUCCUCUCAAAGGCCAACCAAAUCUGCAACAUCUACAGCCGUAUUCUGGCUCAGAAGCUCACAUUGGGCCGUCGGGCACAGCAUCAAUAAGUCUGACUUUGAUUUUACCGGACAAACCACCGAGCAGAUUACAGUUUUGUUGGCACUUUUUUUUUUUGUUACCCCUGAAAUUACAACAUAUUUCUAAGCUUAACAAUGCCAACUGGCCUCUCUGCCUCACCCGUUUACUCCCUUUCUGUUUUCACCCGUCUCUCUCGAUUCCUCCUCUCUUAUCUUCCUCUCCUUCGCUGUUUUUUGGGGCUCAGAGAUAAGAUCUCCCUCAAUGGCACACUUUGGGCAAUAUCUUAAAGAUCCCUACUGUCACUUCAGCUUAAGCAGCCCUUUGGGCUCUCAGUACACACACCAACACACACACACACACAGCCUCUCACUAAUAAUAGGGGCAGGGAGAGGCAGUUUGGAUUUGAGGACUCGUAAACACACUUCUUUCUUCCAACAAUUCUCUUUGAUCUUUAUCAAACAAAACAGUUUCCUUGGAGUAUUUUGUGCUUCCAUCGCUCAACUUGAAAAAAACUGCAGUGCACUACUCCCACUUCGAUUUCCCCACCCAUAAAUAAAAUGAGAGCACAUUUGGAUUUCCUGACUGUGGGCUUUAGGCCCUUCACUGCCACGUCUGUCAGGUCCAUUAAUUCAGAAGUGUGCAAGCCGGUUCUGCUUAACUGUUUCUCUGGGCAACACGUUAACAUCUCACAACAGUUAAUUUGUAUAUUUAAUCCAAUUGGGUUUAUUUCAAGCAAGGUGCUGUCAUAGUACACAAGCAGUGGUAGAGUUUUAAAAUUAAUUAAAUGGAUCAUCGGUGGGCCUUUUCACCUCCAACAGCAGCCAGCAAAGUGCCUUCUUCUGAGCUGUGCAGCGGCUGUUUAACUAAGAAUCAGUUCAAGCUUUCCUGUUAAGAAUUACCACUUCCUGUGUUGCAGGGAAGAAAAAAAAAACAUGUCCUUCAGUUUCUAGAUCCCAUGGUCCUUAAUGAUCUGAUUUCUGUCUCCCAUAGGCGGGCAGUUGCUAUGGCAACCUGAUGACGCUCUGAGGAAGGACGAGAGGGAGAAAGGGGGGAGGAGGGGUGUAUGGAGAUGAGGAGGAAGGUAGCUGCACCAAAGAUUGUGUGUCUUUCAGUCGAUGACUCACUCGGCUGAUAUUUCUUACAGUUGCAGUCGUUGAUUGUGCUCCACACAGAGGUUCAGUUGCUUAAUUAUGUUGGAGAUUGGUGAAUUUGCGUCCCAGGCGGGUGUCCUAGGUGUUGGUGUCGUGGGGCUGACCUAUGGAUUUUGGUUCUAACGAUGCUUUACGAGAUCAUGGCGUAAGGAUACACAAAGUUAAAAUAAUGAUUAACUAUCUAUAAACAGGUCAGGCAGAACUCAGAAGUAAUCAUGUGCAUAGGAGAUGUCCCCUCCAUCCUCCAUCUAUAAUUGCUCCUACACCCUUGCACGUCUCUUUGCAUCUUCACAAGCCUGCUGUUGCCAUAGCGACCACUGUGUAGAGAGUCAACUUACUGAAAAAAAAAAUCCAAAUUUUACCUUUAGAAAAAUGUAAAAGCAUGUAUGAGCCUUACAUGGAUUGCAUGGAUAGAACAGCAGCUACCCUUGAGUUUUGCUGUUCCACAUUGUGCAACUGUUUGCCUUGAAUGAUUAUUUCAUUUCAGUUGUCUGGAAAGCAAUGCUAUAUGCACUAAAAAAACACACUAAUAAAUAAUUUAUGUAAUUUAGAACAUUAGUUAGUAGUCUGAUUUAGUGUAUUUUGGUGGUAGGAUAGUGUUUGUUGUGUGAAUAUCCCAAAAUAUACAUAAAUAAAAUAUAUAUAAAGAAUUCUAUUAUCUUCUUCAAUACAUUCUUUCUUUUUGUUUUUGUUUAUUUUUAUUUUUUUCUUCUAAAAAAAAACUUGUGUAAUAACGCCAUUCACGCGGGUGAAUCUUCUGGUCAAACGCGUAGACGAUCUUUGUUUGUGUCUUCUGUACACAAUGGCAUUCUUUCAGUGAACUCUGCGGGCGUUAGGACCCGGGGCGGGCGCUGGGGGAAGUCCUGUGCUGCUGGCGGGGCAA